Molecule: non-coding RNA, 157 nt
Organism: Citrus sinensis (sweet orange)
Lineage: Eukaryota; Viridiplantae; Streptophyta; Magnoliopsida; Sapindales; Rutaceae
Source: Rfam
AAACUCACCUGGAUGGGGUCAAUGAGUGAUGACUAAGGCUCAUGUCCUAGGGCUGCCCCUCCAUUGCACUUCUUGGAGGACUACCCUAAGGUCUCCCCAAGCUCGGAGAGCCUGCGUUCCAAUUUGUUGUAGGGGCUUGCGUUCGCGUGGCCCUGCC